AAGGCUUUGCCUCUGGAGGAGUCGGGUGCUAGUGCGGCCUGGUUUUCGGUGAGUUUCUGCUUCGGUUCGCACGAGCCUGUCUAGGCCUGCCUGUGGACCGGACUGUCAUCGAUCGCGCCCUCCAUCCUUCAGCGACCCAAGUGAGCCACACGACUGCAGUGUGCAUAGGUGAUCUGUGCGGCGCGCGCCGGGCGGGGCCUUUUCGUCCUUGGCAAACCUGAUAUGCUUCCGCGCUGGUUGGAAGAAAAUCUGUUCCUGCCCUGUCCUUCCACGAGAAUGGGAAGACCACCGGGGAAGUUAGCAGUUGCAGCCGCUGUCAUUAUUGAGUACUUAUAUUACCAAGCUGUUUGAUAAUCGCUGCUUAGGUGUUAUCCCCAUUUCACAGGUGAGGAGACUGAAGAUAGCAGUAAUUUUCCAAGGCCAAACAGCAGGUAAGUUGUAAAGUCAGUAUGAGUCCAGAUCGCUCCCGGUCUCCUGAUUUCAGGUCUUUAACGUGCAAGGUCUACGUUUCAGCUUAGUCCAAAUCUUUCCUUCUGACUCCUUUACUUAACAUGUAUUGUUCCAUUCACUGUUUGCAGCAAACAUGGGUCAGGUUUUAUGCUAACAACUGAGAAUACAGAAAUCAGAAUUCUCUGCCCUCCAGAGCCAUCACCCACCUUGACUUCCUGCUCAUCAGGUUUUUACGCUUAUUUCCUGACCACACUUCUUUCUCCCUCAGGAAAGAUAUGCUGGGAUCCUUGAAACAUAGUCUGUGCCUAGCGUAUGCUGUUUUUCCUGCCAGGAAGCUACCCAGCCUUCCCCUCAGUUUGAUUCCAUGAACACAUUUGGAAAAUUCCCCUGAUCUACUUCUCAUGAGACAGAAAAAUUGAUACAAUUUCCUGAAGAUACACAGCUAGUGAGUAGUAAAUACCUGAAUUAGGAUUCCAAGGUAGGUAUUUGAUUCUUCUGCACAUGCUCCUCAAAGUUUGAAUUCCCACAGCCUUUAUUAGAUCAUUUAUCACACUUUAUAGUAAUUACCUAGUUAACAGUCGAUUCUCAUUCCUCUCGCAGAUUGAGCUUCUGAGUGGGAGGGACUGUAUUUUAUUGAUCCUGGCAUUUCUAACUUCUCGAAUAUUCUCUCAAAGGGAAGGAAUUAGUAACUGUCAUGUGGUUGAGUGGGUGGAUUGAUGUAUUGUCAGACAGAUGUAAAUAAGUUUUCAACUGUCAAAAGUUGUGAUUAGUCAUCCCAAUCUCAUUUUCAGAAAUAGGGCACCUGAGGCUUUUUUGUCUUUCAGACUUAUUAUUAAGGUGAGCAAGUUUGUAUGUUUAAUGAUUUAUAGUUUUGAACUUAAUCUGUAUUCUUAUUUUUACAGAUAAAGAAACAACUCAGGUUUGACCAAGAUCACCCAAGUAGGGGUUGGGGAGUUGGAAGCCACUAUGACUGAUUCCAAAGUAGUACAGUGCUUGUAGUCACAAUUAAGAAUGGUAAAGGCUUUAAAUUUUCUUUGCUGUGUUAUAUGGAGUGAAUAAACUAAAAGAAUGACAGGAAGAAUCAGAAAGUACAAAAACCAAAAUGUCCCAAAAUAAAUGUAAAAGGAUUUAAAAAUAAAAGCAAAAGUUAAUAAAACCAAAAUUGAUCAUAAUAGCUAAUAUUUGAAAAGAGCAAUAAGUAGAUACUAUUAGCAAAUUGACAGAAAAAAAAAUUUACAAAAAGGGUACAUGUUCGAAGGAAAUUUCAAAAAUCAGAAGUGAAUUAUUUUUAAGCCCUUACACUAGCAGUGUUAAGAGAAUGUCCCAUAAUAGUUUGGUCCCAACAAAAGGCACCAUGAACAAAGCAUAAAGAAGAGUAAUGUGCUUCUUAACUAUGAAGGUGGCAGAAGCCAAACAACCCUAAACCUGUCAAAAUUUUGAAUAUACAAUAUCUAUGAGCCAGAUACUAUCUGGUUGUAAAAUCUUCAAAAUAACUUGCUCAUUCACUCACUACAAUAUUUGAUAAUAGUCAUAAGUAAUAUAAUGGCUAAAUAAAUUAUACCACACUUACACAAUACAAAUUAUACUAGUAGAAAUGCAGAUCUAUGCAUUAAUCAGCAUGGAAAGAAUUUUAAGAUGUAGGUGAUGAAAAAAAGGCACAAAACAAUAUAAUUUUAAAAGUUUAUAAAAGUAUUUUUAAUUUGGAAAAUAAAUUUGAGUUGUUAAUUCUGUGUACUUUAUAGAAGGUAGGUGUAAGACUUUUUUUUAUUAUUAUUUGACGGAGUUAGAGAGAGAGAGAGAGGUCUUCCUUCCCUUGGUUCACUCCUCAAAUGGCCGCCACGGCCGGCACUGCGCCAAUGCGAAGCCAGGAGCCAGGUGCUUCUUCCUGGUCUCCCAUGCGGGUGCAGGGGCCCAAGCACUCGGGCCAUCCUCCACUGCCCUCCCAGGCCACAGCAGAGAACUAGACUGGAAGAGGAGCAACCGGGACUAGAAGCCGGUGCCCAUGUGGGAUGCCGGCGCAUGCUGCAGGCGGGAGGAUUACACAAGUGAGCCACGGCACUGGCCCCGGUGUAAGACUUUUUUAUAUUGGCAUUAUUGAAAAAUUUUAAUCCAUAGUAAAAAUAAAGAAAAACAUGAAUUGUCGCAUAAAGUAAAAGAAGUUAGUUUUUUUAAGAUUUAUUUAUUUGAAAUGCAGCAGGGUUGAGGAGGGUAGGGAUCAUGCAUCCAACUGGUUCACUCACCAGAGGGCAGCAAUAACCAGGUCUGAGCCAGGCUGAAGCCAGGAGCGGGGAACACCAUCCAGGUCUAAGAGCACAAGCACUUGGGCCAUCUUCCACUGCCUUCUCUGGCCCAUUAGCAGGAAACUGGAUGAGAAGCUGAGCAGCCAAGACAAAUGGAAGGGCUGGCACUGUGGUAUGGGGGUGAAGCCAGUGCCAGUUCGAGUCCUGGCUGCUCCUCUUCCCAUCCAGCUCUCUGCUAUGGCCUGGAAAGGCAGUAGAAGAUGGCCCAAGUGCUUUGGGCCCCUGUGUGGAGGCCCAGAAGCUCCUGGCUCCUGGCUUCAGAUCAGCUCAGCUCUGGCUGUUGCAGUCAUUUGGGGAGUGAACCAGUGAAUGGCAGACCUCUCUCUGUCUCUGUCUAUCUCUGCCUCUUUUUUGUGUAACUCUGACUUUAAAAAAAAAAAAAAAAAAAAAAAAAAGACUCAAAUGGACACUGAAGCAGUGGCUUAACCCACUGCAGCACAAUGCUGGCAUUAGGCCAGGACAGAUUAAGCUAAGAAAAAUACACUGGUUUCAUUAAGGAUUUAUUGAUAAUACUAAGGAGAGCUGUUUUAAUUGUCAAACGCAAAAGCCAGAUUGUACAAGAUUUCAAAGUAAGUGACUGAAGGAAAUUUCUCUAAUGGGCAUCCAGCAUUUCAGAGGAAUCCUUUGUGGAGUAGGAGGCUAUGGUUCCAGUUAGUAAAAAUGUCUAGUCUUUUUUUUUUUUUUUUUUUUUGACAGGCAGAGUGGACAGUGAGAGAGAGAGAGAAAGGUCUUCCUUUGCCAUUGGUUCACCCUCCAAUGGCCGCCGCGGCCAGCACGCUGCGGCCGGCGCACCGCGCUGAUCCGAUGGCAGGAGCCAGGAGCCAGGUGCUUCUCCUGGUCUCCAAUGGGGUGCAGGGCCCAAGCACUUGGGCCAUCCUCCACUGCACUCCCGGGCCACAGCAGAGAGCUGGCCUGGAAGAGGGGCAACCGGGACAGAAUCCGGCGCCCCAACCGGGACUAGAACCCGGUGUGCCGGCGCCGCUAGGCGGAGGAUUAGCCUAGUGAGCCGCGGCGCCGGAGAAAAUGUCUAGUCUUCUGCCUCUCCAUUUUUCCAAAGUUGGGGGAUAAGCAAGAUAUCUUUGUUAUUCCUACAUAAAUCAGCACCCCAGGGAUACUUUUUAUCUAUUUAGUCAGCCCCUACCUGUCCUUCAAAGUGCCCUCAUCUCAGAGAGCUGACCCUAUUUAAGAUUAGAAGAGAACUUCCCACUUCUUUAGAGAAGUUCAGGACCUUUCUGGACAUUACCCUCCUGAUUUCCCAUUUCUGCCUCCAAUUUACCUUUUAGUCAGCUGUAUCUUUGCAUUUAUAGGCAUGGUUAGAUCUCUCCAUAGAUCUUCCUGAAUAUUUUUUAUAUACCUCUACCAGGACACUUACUUGAUGCAAAAGGCCAGCCAACUGGAAAACAAAGAGAAUUCAGAAUCCUGUAUUUUGGAUUAGGCUCUUAGAUGAGUUUUUAAUUUUCACUGCGUAAUUUGUUUCCCCAAAACUUAUUUUUAGUUGUAAAUGAUUACUUUCCAGGCAUCAAAGUUGAAAGUUUUAAAUAUGAGAAUAACACUUCACUAAAAUUAAACCAUGGCAACAGUUAUAAUGAAAUGUCUGAAUUAAAAAAAAAAACAGUAUUACUAUUAUUUGUACUCACAAACUCCAACUCUUAAUUCAAAAGACAACAUUCCAUCUUCCCUGGGGUUUCCUUCAGCCUCCCUUGCCGCACCUCCAGUGCAGAUUACUAGCUCUAGCUUCCAGAGCUAUAUAUUGAAUAUUACUUUUACAUUUUUGGGGGCUAAAAUCUGGUGUUGAUUUCUGAAUUAGUUACCAGAUCAACUCUGUAGCAUCUUAAAUACUUCAGAAAAUUCACAGAAAAAUGGAAUUAAAAGGUUAGUUUUAGUGCAAAAAUAUUUUGAAAGCCAAUUUCCUUAUGAUAUAUAUUUCCCAUGAAUUUUUGACAGCUCUCCAUGUUAGAAGUGCCCUAGAAUGAGAAUAAAUGGCACUCUUCAGAGAUGAACAAUCUCUUAACAUUCUAAUGCACAGCCAAAUUUGGGGCAUAUUCAGAUCACUACAUCUGACCUCCUACCUCAAAGAGAAAGUAGGAGCUGAACUCCUACCUGUUAAUAGUGAUCACCCCAGGCAAUGUACUGUGUCUGUCAUUCCAAAGCUAAUCCUUCUUGUGCUAUUAAUACCAUCUCAUUCCAGCCUGAGGCCAUUGUUAUCAGUCACUUCUGUCCACCCAAUUUUAUCUUCUGAACUCCUUUUAACAUACUGGAGUAAGUACUUCAAAAAUUUUGUGGAAAAUGAAAUUAAAAGUUAAUUUUGGUGACAAAAUUUUUGAAAUCCACCCACACAGAGGUCUUCAGAGUUCAUGAAAAUAUGUUUUAUGAAAAAAACAGACUUCAAAGAUUUUGGCACCAAAAACAUCUUUUAAUAAAAUUUCUUAUUUUUUGAAAAACUUCAUAGACAUGCUAAUGUCUCUAGUUGUUUUUAUUCUAACUACAAUUUAAUCUCUACAGAUAAAUUUCAUAAAUUUGUAAUUCUUGCUCUUUUGUUAUCUCCAUCCUCAUUACCCAUUGCACCUAUUUUUGGUACCCAUAUUCAGCUGUUCUUAGAAUAUUUCUCUGUUCUAAUCUUACUGUAUUUUGUUGACUAGCCAUCCCUUGAAAAUUGUUUUACCAGUUUGUCCAUUCACUUCUUUCUUACCUCCCUAUCCACCAGUCUUUGUUCCCAGGGACCUGUCCUAGACCCUCCUCCCUCUAUGUGCAUAACUCUUGUUACACUUGUAUGUUUAAAUGUAGCCAUCCUUUUGAACAUUUUUGUUCAUACCUAUAUUUUUGGGUUCACAGAUACCAACAAUUCUAUCAUAGCAGUGAUCAUGUAUAUCUGUAAGUUCAGCUAUUACAUAAUGUGCUUAAAAUCAAAUCCAAUAGGCUUCUCUGCAGAAUGUGAUCAUCUCUAAAAUUUAAUUUUACUGAUUCUUUCAAAAAACAAAAAC
Non-coding RNA from Oryctolagus cuniculus (rabbit), 5731 nucleotides. Lineage: Eukaryota; Metazoa; Chordata; Mammalia; Lagomorpha; Leporidae. The record is from RefSeq and is a predicted model, not a curated record.